AAUAAAUUAGGAAUUCGCCCAAAGAAUUACAAAACUCAGCUCUCUAGCCUACUUUGUCUGAUGUCUCUACACUAUACAACAUUUUGUGCACCUAGCACUGGCUAUUUAUAGCUUGGUGGUUAGUUGACAUCCUCAAUUGCCAAAUGGUUUGCACCACUAAGGUGCUGUCAACAAAGGGGUGGCAGUUCUCCCAAAACUGCCCACUACAGAUCAUGUCAACAAGUGCCACGCAUCCUUAGGUCCUAGCCAUGCAACCUGUUGUUUGACCAUGUUCCCACUAACUGGUUGUUGCCCUCAACUGCUGCUUGGUCAACUUACCCGCCACUGGUAACUGCCACAAUUGUUGUCUAACACAUUCCCACCAUCUGGUAACCGCCUACAACUUCAUUGCAUGAUCUUGCCAAUUGCUGCCCACUUCUUAACAUGCUACCCCCAUGCCUCAAGGACAGCGAUUUGGUCGUGCCUUCAAGUCAUGUUAUCUAUCAUUUCUAAUUAUAUCACUAAUAAAAAUAUUUUAUCUAUCAACACCCCCACCCACAUACACACACAUUAAGGAAUCCUUCAACCUCAGCAUCAACUUUCUGGAAACAUGUCAACCACAUUAACUUGUUGAUCUGUGAGCUGACUCAAAUUUUGGUGUACAAGGGCUUUUCAGUCAUCAAUUCCUCGACUUCUGUACACUUGAGCAAAAAAUAUGCAAGUCAGUUUAUAAAUCAGCUACUUAAAUUACACGUCAAAAAAAUUGCCACAUCACCGCUUUUUUAACUUCUGUUAACGAAAAAUCUUAAAUAUAUAUUAAAAAAAAAUUAGUUAAAGAAUGCAACUACAUUAAAACUUGGGUGAAGGACCCCAAAUUCAAAAAGAAAAUUAAUUCAAGGACAAACUGAUUAAUUUAUUUAAUACUAAGGACUUUUAAAUAAGCAGUCCAUCUGCACGGGAGCGCACACAUAAAACACAGAUCAAAAUUCUUCAUGAAAAAAAAUCAAAGAAUUGAAAGGUUAACAUCUAACAGAAUGUGGAACCGGGAAAAAAAAAUUAGACACUUGACACUCAGAAUAGGAUAUGGGUACUGGACACUUUAUUUUAAUGUAUAAAAUUGGCAAAAUUAAGGAGUACCCGUGUCGGAGACUUCAAAAUACUGUAUCCAACAACCGGACAUUCCAUCCCAGUCUGUGUAACAUAGAAGUUAAAUAGGUAAACUAACAAUUUUUCAUGAUCAAGAGCCGGGAAAUUCUGCCAUCUAAAAAGCACCUCCCUCUCUGAUUUGAUUAAAAAAAAUAGUAGUUGUUAGAAUAAGUGACUCAAGCUACAUAUGCAACUCUGUUAACUGGCAACAUAGCCAAGAUCAGUAAGUGAUCAUAGAAUUAAAUGUUUACUAAACAUCAUAUCUUUCAAAUCUACUUGAGAAACAAAAUGGUGUUGAAACCAUACAAUGAAUAUGUAACAAAUGCUAAGCAUUGCCUAUAGAAUUCAAUCUACAGCAAUAAACAGAUUUUCCGCACAUAAGCUGCCUGCAAGGCAUGCAGUUUAUAUAGAAGCAAGACUAAAGUAAAAGCAGCACUACAGUGAGACACAUAUAUAAGGAUAGUUAUAGGUGUCAUGUGGAGCUGUCGGUUCAAUUAUCCACAAUAGAUAGGAGGAAAUUACCUAUAGAUCAGCAAGGGACAGUGGAGAAGUGCCUCCGAAUGACUGCAAUUGUCAAGCUCCUGUCGAGCAGAAAAAAUAUUUUUAAAUUAAGAAAUCAUACGACAAAGAAUGUGGUAACUAAUUUUGAAAGAUUAAAACUAGCAUGUACAAACAUGUAUGCCACAAAAAUGAGUAUUUUGAGAUGGAUCAAUGGUAGUACAAGAAAUUACAAAUGCAACAAAUAAAUUCUUUAGAGUUUAGAAGUAUUGGGUAGUUUCUUUUCUUCUAUCACAUCAACAUCAUCUGAAAGCUGGUUUUUACCAAAUGUCACUUGAUGAUAAACAUACUGGUUCAGAGAAGUAGUUUGUAACGACACUUGCCAAUUCAAAGGACAAAUUAAAACUUGCAUUGAAUGCAGAAGAUAUAUAUUUAUAUAUAUAUAUAUAUGGAAAAAAUGUAUGUACACAGCUGUGUAUUACACAGUCGGCUAUGGCGAUCAUAGCCCAAAAAACCCGUCGCCAUAACCCUACUGUAUAAUACACAACUGUGUAUAUUCAUAUAGCCCUAUAUAUAUAUAUAUAUAUUUAUACACACAAACAUAUAUCUAUCUAUUAGAUUGUGGAUGCAGAAAUGAUUAUGUCUUUUGAUUGGACCAAACGUGAAUUACCAUGAAUCUCAAUGACCAAGUAUUCGGCAACUUACACUUAAUCUCAUCAAACACUUAUUUUCAUGAAUCGAGUAUUUCAAAUAUUAAUUUAGAUAAGUUGCAUCUUGCGAAUAACAAUCAGACCUUACUAGCAUACCCAGUAGGUUGAGGAGCAAAAGGAGGGAUCUCUCAAAAGGCUUACCUUGUGCCCCCCUGUCCUAACCUUGUUGUACUCGAGCGUAAUGCGCCUCUCCUUGCCAUAAAGAACAUAACCUCUCAUCAACAAAUAAGGAUCAAAGAUAAAAGCAAGAUAUUCUUCAAAAAAUACAUUAGCUAUAGAGAGCACAUGACAAGUUAAUAGACCUUGAACAACCCCAAUAAGUAAUGUAUGGAUACUCUUUUAGAACAUAUUAACAGCCAUCACCUUGGCCGUUUUACCUGCAAAACUCUCAAAGAUUUUUUUUAUAAAAAAAACAACAAAAAUAGAAGACAGAAUGUUCAAUAAGUUCAAUGCAAGAAGCAUAAGGCAGUUCCGUCAAUAAGAUUGGCUACCUAAAAAGAAACUGCAUUACAAAAACCAGUAUAGGAGACGAAAACACUAUAGUCAGCUGACCUGAGACAUGAAAGAACUGCAUCCUGUACAAUGUACUUGCAGUAAGCUAUUGCAAGAAAGUUUUUCAAGCAAAAAGGCAAGUCAAUCCAAAAUCUUAAUAAUCAUAUGACUUGAGAAGACUAGGCCAAGAAUCAGUUCAAUUUCAGUAAAAGAUGCUAUAAUUUAGCUUUUACCUACAGAAAUGUUGUACAGAGUAUCAAAAUAAGAGGAUUCGGCACAUAUAAAGAGUAUUUUCU
This 3121-nucleotide long non-coding RNA is filed under the name Panax ginseng (ginseng). Its description in RNAcentral is "long non-coding RNA (PGIN_LNC006950)". The record is from RNAcentral. Lineage: Eukaryota; Viridiplantae; Streptophyta; Magnoliopsida; Apiales; Araliaceae.